RNAcentral lists this ribosomal RNA (426 nucleotides) under uncultured bacterium. RNAcentral describes it as "bacterial SSU rRNA". It matches the Rfam family "Bacterial small subunit ribosomal RNA", at positions 355 to 796 of the family's 1533-position model. The record is from RNAcentral.
UGGGGAAUUUUCCGCAAUGGGCGAAAGCCUGACGGAGCAAUACCGCGUGAGGGAGGAAGGCUUUUGGGUUGUAAACCUCUUUUGUCAGGGAAGAAAAUUUGACGGUACCUGAAGAAAAAGCAUCGGCUAACUCCGUGCCAGCAGCCGCGGUAAUACGGAGGAUGCAAGCGUUAUCCGGAAUAAUUGGGCGUAAAGGGUCCGCAGGUGGCCAUUCAAGUCUGCUGUCAAAGACCGUGGCUCAACCACGGAAAGGCAGUGGAAACUGUUUAGCUAGAGUACGGUAGGGGUAGAGGGAAUUCCCAGUGUAGCGGUGAAAUGCGUAGAUAUUGNGAAGAACACCGGUGGCGAAAGCGCUCUACUAGGCCGAAACUGACACUGAGGGACGAAAGCUAGGGGAGCGAAAGGGAUUAGAUACCCCNGUAGUCA